UGCCUUUAGGUUCGGAAUAACUCAGGGAAACUUGUGCUAAUACCGAAUGUGCCCUUCGGGGGAAAGAUUUAUCGCCUUUAGAGCGGCCCGCGUCUGAUUAGCUAGUUGGUGGGGUAAUGGCCCACCAAGGCUACGAUCAGUAGCUGGUCUGAGAGGAUGACCAGCCACAUUGGGACUGAGACACGGCCCAAACUCCUACGGGAGGCAGCAGUGGGGAAUCUUGCGCAAUGGGCGAAAGCCUGACGCAGCCAUGCCGCGUGGAUGAUGAAGGUCUUAGGAUUGUAAAAUCCUUUCACCGGUGAAGAUAAUGACUGUAGCCGGAGAAGAAGCCCCGGCUAACUUCGUGCCAGCAGCCGCGGUAAUACGAAGGGGGCUAGCGUUGCUCGGAAUUACUGGGCGUAAAGGGAGCGUAGGCGGACAUUUAAGUCAGGGGUGAAAUCCCAGAGCUCAACUCUGGAACUGCCUUUGAUACUGGAUGUCUUGAGUGUGAGAGAGGUAAGUGGAACUCCGAGUGUAGAGGUGAAAUUCGUAGAUAUUCGGAAGAACACCAGUGGCGAAGGCGACUUACUGGCUCAUUACUGACGCUGAGGCUCGAAAGCGUGGGGAGCA
This 609-nucleotide ribosomal RNA is filed under the name uncultured Brevundimonas sp. RNAcentral's name for it is "bacterial SSU rRNA". It matches the Rfam family "Bacterial small subunit ribosomal RNA", at positions 127 to 770 of the family's 1533-position model. Lineage: Bacteria; Pseudomonadati; Pseudomonadota; Alphaproteobacteria; Caulobacterales; Caulobacteraceae. The record is from RNAcentral.